Mauremys reevesii (Reeves's turtle) is the source of this 696-nucleotide long non-coding RNA. RefSeq lists it as uncharacterized. The transcript has 3 exons. Lineage: Eukaryota; Metazoa; Chordata; Testudines; Geoemydidae. The record is from RefSeq and is a predicted model, not a curated record.
CGGCUGAGUCCUAAUUCUCAACUCCCACAAGCCCCAGUCACUCAGCGCAUUGUGUCCCCUCCAAUUGCCCUCUGGCUUGGUGACAAUUUGUGGAUCCGGAGCUCUCUCAGAUGUGUCCUGGAGAAAGGAUAAGCUGCUGUGUCAAUGAGGGAACCCAGCCAGGAGCUCCCUCGCUCUGGGAAAGCCCCACACGUUCACUCACUUCAAGGAGUCUGGGUCUACAUGAAGGACAAGCCUGUUGAGGAUCAAUCUCAGAGAUGCAGCAGUGGCAUCUCAGGAAUCAUCUACUGAUGCCUCUGCCCAGGGAGGAACUGGGAACGGUGUGUGCUGACUAACCACCACAGCAACUCUGCUCAGCACUCAGCAAGCUACAACAUACCUGCAGAGGAUGCUACAGGCAGACCCUGACGCUGCAAGGGAGGGCACGCCACCCUCUUUCAGGAUCAGGCCUCAGUCCACAGUUUCAGAUCUGUCAAGCUGACGACCUCAUCAUGCCGUUCACAUGGCCCUACGCCUCCCGCAUCAGCUCUGAGCUGGAUCGUCAUCCUUGGCUCCUGCAGUGUGUUGAUAACAUGGCUCCCAUGUUACAUGUUUAUUUCCUUGUUAAUGUUGUUCAGGGUUCCAUUUAGCCAGUGAGGCGGCAGUAAAUAAAUAAGGAAGUAUGCUUCAGGAAUAGCUCUGAAGUUUUGUGGCACA